AUCCCACACUCAGAGAAGAAGAAGAAGAAAAAAAACAGAGCUUUA
RNAcentral lists this small RNA (45 nucleotides) under Arabidopsis thaliana (thale cress). Its description in RNAcentral is "ATSL187550". The record is from RNAcentral. Lineage: Eukaryota; Viridiplantae; Streptophyta; Magnoliopsida; Brassicales; Brassicaceae.